RNAcentral lists this unclassified non-coding RNA (138 nucleotides) under uncultured fungus. RNAcentral's name for it is "sequence contains ITS1, 5.8S rRNA gene". The record is from RNAcentral. RNAcentral also lists the same sequence under 2 other names. Lineage: Eukaryota; Fungi.
CUGAGUACUACACUCUCUACCCUUUGUGAACUAUUAUACCUGUUGCUUCGGCGGCGCCCGCGAGGGUGCCCGCCGGUCUCAUCAGAAUCUCUGUUUUCGAACCCGACGAUACUUCUGAGUGUUCUUAGCGAACUGUCA